GACGAACGCUGGCGGCGUGCUUAACACAUGCAAGUCGAACGGUAAGGCCCUUCGGGGUACACGAGUGGCGAACGGGUGAGUAACAUGUGGGUGAUCUGCCCUGCACUUCGGGAUAAGCCUGGGAAACUGGGUCUAAUACCGGAUAGGACCCUGGGAUGCAUGUCCUGGGGUGGACAGCUUUUGCGGUGUGGGAUGGGCCCGCGGCCUAUCAGCUUGUUGGUGGGGUGAUGGCCUACCAAGGCGACGACGGGUAGCCGGCCUGAGAGGGUGACCGGCCACACUGGGACUGAGAUACGGCCCAGACUCCUACGGGAGGCAGCAGUGGGGAAUAUUGCACAAUGGGCGCAAGCCUGAUGCAGCGACGCCGCGUGAGGGAUGACGGCCUUCGGGUUGUAAACCUCUUUCAGCACCGACGAAGCGCAAGUGACGGUAGGUGCAGAAGAAGGACCGGCCAACUACGUGCCAGCCGCCGCAGUAA
RNAcentral lists this ribosomal RNA (478 nucleotides) under uncultured bacterium. RNAcentral describes it as "partial 16S ribosomal RNA". It matches the Rfam family "Bacterial small subunit ribosomal RNA", at positions 28 to 523 of the family's 1533-position model. The record is from RNAcentral.